RNAcentral lists this ribosomal RNA (253 nucleotides) under uncultured bacterium. Its description in RNAcentral is "partial 16S ribosomal RNA". It matches the Rfam family "Bacterial small subunit ribosomal RNA", at positions 524 to 776 of the family's 1533-position model. The record is from RNAcentral.
UACGUAGGGUGCAAGCGUUGUCCGGAAUUAUUGGGCGUAAAGAGCUUGUAGGCGGUUUGUCGCGUCUGCUGUGAAAUUUCGGGGCUCAACCCCGAACUUGCAGUGGGUACGGGCAGACUAGAGUGUGGUAGGGGAGACUGGAAUUCCUGGUGUAGCGGUGAAAUGCGCAGAUAUCAGGAGGAACACCGAUGGCGAAGGCAGUCUGCUGGGCCGUAACUGACGCUGAGGAGCGAAAGCGUGGGGAGCGAACAGG